RNAcentral lists this ribosomal RNA (496 nucleotides) under uncultured bacterium. RNAcentral describes it as "partial 16S ribosomal RNA". It matches the Rfam family "Bacterial small subunit ribosomal RNA", at positions 29 to 507 of the family's 1533-position model. The record is from RNAcentral.
AUGCACGCUGGCGGCGUGCCUAAUCCAUGCAAGUCGCGCGAACAGACGAGGAGCUUGCUCCUCUGACGUUAGCGGCGGACGGGUGAGUAACACGUGGAUAACCUACCUAUAAGACUGGGAUAACUUCGGGAAACCGGAGCUAAUACCGGAUAAUAUAUUGAACCGCAUGGUUCAAUAGUGAAAGACGGUUUUGCUGUCACUUAUAGAUGGAUCCGCGCCGCAUUAGCUAGUUGGUAAGGUAACGGCUUACCAAGGCAACGAUGCGUAGCCGACCUGAGAGGGUGAUCGGCCACACUGGAACUGAGACACGGUCCAGACGCCUACGGGAGGCAGCAGUAGGGAAUCUUCCGCAAUGGGCGAAAGCCUGACGGAGCAACGCCGCGUGAGUGAUGAAGGUCUUCGGAUCGUAAAACUCUGUUAUUAGGGAAGAACAAAUGUGUAAGUAACUAUGCACGUCUUGACGGUACCUAAUCAGAAAGCCACGGCUAACUACGUG